Molecule: microRNA precursor, 64 nt
Filed under: Macacine alphaherpesvirus 1
Lineage: Duplodnaviria; Heunggongvirae; Peploviricota; Herviviricetes; Herpesvirales; Orthoherpesviridae
Description: microRNA hbv-mir-B19 precursor
Gene: hbv-mir-B19
Source: miRBase by way of RNAcentral
UUGGUGGGCGCACUCGAUCCCGGCUGUCCUCCCCUCGCGCGGCGGAUCGGGUCCGCGCUACCGG